RNAcentral lists this unclassified non-coding RNA (372 nucleotides) under Hevea brasiliensis (rubber tree). The record is from RNAcentral. Lineage: Eukaryota; Viridiplantae; Streptophyta; Magnoliopsida; Malpighiales; Euphorbiaceae.
AUAGACUAGUCGGGGUAGCUCAUUCCCCUCGCUGUCAAGUCCUCCACUGUGGCCUAGGAAAACCUGGAUCAUUCCAGGAUGAUCUCUGGUGUUGUUUCCAGGCCACGGUGUACCAUCUUGCAUGACCCAACCCUCGUCAGGAAUCUUUUGUGCCUUGGCAACAAGAGCGUUGAUGCGAAUUUUGAACUCUUCAUAUUCCCUCUUCAUAGCUCUGCGAUCCUUCACAAAUGAAGGAUGAACCUUAUCUUUUAAAUAAUCAAUCUUCUGGGCAAAGUACCAUUCAGGAGCUCGGGGCUCGAUAGCGUAUUGCUUGCAGAAAGGAACCCAUUUCCUCGCAAAUUCUGAAGUUUCAGAAAGUGCCUCGAAUGACAG